Molecule: ribosomal RNA, 198 nt
Filed under: uncultured bacterium
Lineage: Bacteria
Description: partial 16S ribosomal RNA
Rfam family: Bacterial small subunit ribosomal RNA
Source: RNAcentral
ACGCUCGACACCUACGGGAGGCAGCAGUGGGGAAUAUUGCACAAUGGGGGAAACCCUGAUGCAGCGACGCCGCGUGGAGGAAGAAGGUCUUCGGAUUGUAAACUCCUGUUGUUGGGGAAAAGGAGGAUGGUACCCAACAAGGAAGUGACGGCUAACUACGUGCCAACAGCCGCGGUAAUCUGAGCGGGCUGGCAAGGC